Long non-coding RNA from Mya arenaria, 306 nucleotides. RefSeq lists it as uncharacterized. The record is from RefSeq and is a predicted model, not a curated record. NCBI's taxonomy places the organism in Eukaryota, Metazoa, Mollusca, Bivalvia, Myida, Myidae. The transcript has 3 exons.
GCGGAAGGAGCCAUUGAUAUUGCGGGAUGUGUCAACAAAAUGCGCCAGAAUAGGCCAAAUAUGGUUCAGACAUUGGGGCAGUAUCAGUUUCUGCACACCGCCGCGGUUUAUUCACUUACUUUCGACUGCAAACAAAUCAAGGGAGAAAACUUCAACCAGUACAUGAACAAUUUCACUACACAAGAACUGAAUAGUCUGUUUAAGCAACUGCAGCACACGGUCGAAAAACGAUCAAAAUAUGAAACAGAAGCGGUUGAACGAAAUAAACAGCACCUAAAUAAAAACAGAACAAAUGCUGAUAUCCCG